Solanum lycopersicum (tomato) is the source of this 555-nucleotide non-coding RNA. Lineage: Eukaryota; Viridiplantae; Streptophyta; Magnoliopsida; Solanales; Solanaceae. The record is from RefSeq and is a predicted model, not a curated record.
GCAAACACAAUACCAACUAUGCGCACAACAAUCCCAAAUGCGUACAACCGACAAGACUGCAGCAAAUCGGGAAUUGAAAAAAUUUUGAGUUUUCGAAUUGGUCCAGAUUUCACUCCAUUUUCCCAAAAUAUAAUCUAUUUAAGCCAGCGUGUUGGUAGAAUCUCAGCUCAUCUUUUUCCCGUUCGCUGCCCCAACAAAGUUCGCCUCGAACUCUUGCCUCCCCUCUUGCAUUUCGAGUGAGCCGUAAAUGCUCAAAUUCUCCAUUGAAUCUCCUAACCUUUAAAUCGAUGAAAAGAUCCCCCAAAAUUAGAGCAUAUGAAGUCACCUGAAGAGUUGAUGUCGUGCGGCCAAAAGCCAACUUUUUUUAUUUAUUGUUGUACUUUGUUAAAAUUAGGCCUAAGCACUUCAUCUUUGUAUUAUUUUGCUAGAACUUAGGACAAAAUUUAAAUAGGUUAAAAAACCCAAAGUGAAAUGGGUCCAAAUACCAUUUCAGGCGGAUAGAAAUCACAUUUGGACCCAACUCUCUCUCUCUCUAUAUAUAUAUAUAUAUCUCUA